Molecule: unclassified non-coding RNA, 664 nt
Filed under: Hevea brasiliensis (rubber tree)
Lineage: Eukaryota; Viridiplantae; Streptophyta; Magnoliopsida; Malpighiales; Euphorbiaceae
Source: RNAcentral
CUCUGAGUCUUCAACCAUAGAAUGGUCCUGACUAGUCUUCAAAGGAACUUCACUAGUGUUUGGUGGUGCCGUUCGGUCAAUAUCUUGUAAGCUAUUAGCGGGUUUGGAAUUUUCAAAUUUGUUACUAAUAGUCUCAGGUAAUGUAGCAGGAGGCUGCAAUUUUGAUUCAGAAACUGAUCCCACUUCCUGUAUGUGUGAUUCAGAUACUUUAGCUGGUUGAAUAGAUCCUUCAUUUGAUAAGCCAAUGGAAGGAGAAUCAGAGACAACACCUAAAGAAUUUGCUGAGUUAUUUGGCAAAUUUGCAGCACGUAUUGCCUGAUCCACAUUUUUCAUCCUUGAACUGAAACUAUUCCCUGUCAUUUCCCUUGCAUUGGGUGCUUUUGAAUCAGAUGCUGGCUCAGAAUGGCUACCAAUCACAGUACCAGAUCCUGCAGAAAUUUGUAAACCAGAGCUUCCAUUUGCCAUUAACUUUUCUUGAUUGAACUUUUGAUCUACAAUUCCAUUUUUCUUCUCUGACGAAGGCUGAGCUCCAGCUGGAUUAGAAGGUCCUUUUGGUGGAGUAAUGCUUCUCAUCACACGGCCAUAUUUAGGUGGCAAAGGCUUUCCAUUGCUUAAUGCUAGGCACCUCAAGCAGUGCCACUCACCACCUCUAGGUAUUCCUUUC